CGGCCAAGCAGCUGCAAAUCUCUAACACAAUUGGGUUGUUUCUACGGCAACUGGAAUAUUCCAGUCCGUGGGUGGCUUUAAUGAGGUAAUUAGUUAUGACGUAAUCACGAAGUGGGCUGGCUGCUUCCCUUGCCUGCGAAGAACCUUGGACGGUUUCGCCAGAAAAGACCCUUUGGAGCCUGGCAGCAACCGGAAGCAUCAACUGCACUUAGUGAGCAAAAGUGCGGCAGACAAAGCCACCGGGAGGAACACAUUGGGGCCCAAGAAUGGGAACAGAAGAAAUUGUUGCGAUCAGAGCCUGGUUGGUGGCUGUAAUGACGAAGGUGACGGAGUUUUUGCGUUUUCACGUGACUACCACAUCCCAGAACAGUUUUUUUGAUACCAGCUCUCUCAAUUGGCGGUAAGAGGUCCAUCAACACAAGUUUUUCUACACAGAGUACUAGUACAACCAUGACUAGUUCAGCAAACCUUCAAGUUGCUCUAUGGUUUCAAGUCACCUUGGAAGCUGAAGUGUGUAUGUUAUGUUAUCUACCAGCAUAAUAUUCAGCACUCAGCUACUGCCAUAGAGAACACUACUCUCCUUUCCGCUGUUUCUCCCAGGCACAGUUCAGGUUGGUUCAUCUGAGUCAACCGUGCCAUGAUCGCUCCUAAUACCAUUUGGACGACCAGGAGUGCUUGCUCUAACGGGAAAAGGCAACUCUUGGUCGCUAACUAUAAUGCCGUUGACUUCAAAAGAGAUCUCUGGCAUUGGAGACGAGCCUACCAUGCCUAGAGACUGACUAUCAGCAAAUUCAAAACUUGGUCUCAAUGCAUAAAAGAAUUUGAAAGACAUCUAAACAUGGACGAACACAUCUUCUCGAUCACGCAUGGGUGGCUUUUCCUAUUGAAAAACAACUCACAAGUGUUGGGAAAGUCGCAUAUGAUUCGAGCAAUUGGCGCCAACAGAACAGUCUGGAUAUUUCAACACGACAAUUGGGGCAUCUUCUUUCCCUAAAGAGAGAUGGUUUAUGACUCUGGGGGAAAGUGGUAAACCAUUACUAUUCAGAGGAAACCGUUUGUCUUCAAACUCAUCAUUUCUUCCUCGAUCUGGCUCCACUUUGUUUACAUGCAUUCCUGACCUUUUACAACGGACUCACUGACAGUUCUCAAUCAGUGAGCGUAUUCUCGCGAGUGUGCUGGAACAAUUUAGUCCUUCUCUGGUUCUUCGCUUAAAAGUCCCUUUCUACUCCGAGAGCUGUUCUUAGUACUGACUUAGACACAAUCACUGAUCCGAAACUUCGAGGAAUUUCUCUGUCGCGGUCCUGGUUGCCCAUCCUACUCGAUUUUCAUUGAAGUUAUCAGCACACCAUCUAUAUUAGACAUCUAAAAAUCGGUGGUUCCAAUACUGAAAAUUUGUUGUCUAUUAGAAGUGGGAUCGGGGAUAGGGCACAUCUUGGCAAUCUGCAGAGAAUCGGAGAAGGAUAAAGAUAUCCGUCCAUCUGAUGGAUUGGGUGGUUCAUCUUUCUGCUACUAGUAGUUAUGGAGUUACGAGUAUGUAAUGUAACAGGCGAUUUUGAAUAACUAGUUAGUAGUUAACCAGCAGCGUAUGAAGGAGCAUAGCAAUUGGUGUAUGUAAUUACGGUCCUGAGAAGAACAAUUUAGAACGGC
This 1647-nucleotide small RNA is filed under the name Histoplasma capsulatum. RNAcentral describes it as "hypothetical RNA". Lineage: Eukaryota; Fungi; Ascomycota; Eurotiomycetes; Onygenales; Ajellomycetaceae. RNAcentral also lists the same sequence under 1 other name. The record is from RNAcentral.